GCCGACGUGGAGGACGGCGAGGAACCCUGCGUCCUUUCCUCGCAUUCUGGGAGCGCAGGCUCCAAGUCGGGAGGCGACAAGAUGUUCUCCCUCAAGAAGUGGAACGCGGUAGCCAUGUGGAGCUGGGACGUUGAGUGCGAUACCUGCGCCAUCUGCAGGGUCCAGGUGAUGGGUCUGGGUUUCCAGUGUUGCCUCCUGAACUCCAGAUGAGAUUCGCUCUGUUUACUUUCAGAUGCCUGUCUUAGAUGUCAAGCUGAAAACAAACAAGAGGACUGUGUUGUGGUCUGGGGAGAAUGUAACCACUCCUUCCACAACUGCUGCAUGUCCCUGUGGGUGAAGCAGAACAACCGCUGCCCUCUGUGCCAGCAGGACUGGGUGGUCCAAAGAAUCGGCAAGUGAGAGCCGGCAGAGGCUCUCCUGGUGCGGUGGGUGACCCUGGACAACCUUGUCACCAAGUCACUGGACAGACUUGACACUCCAGGGAUUCACCUUCAGAUAGAGGGAAUGGUGUGUGGCCUCUGGGACUCAUCCAAGGCAUGGUUUAUCAUUUUGUCUGUUUAAUUUUGGGAAAUUGUCUACAAUUAAGAUAAUUUAUUAAAAUAGCCUUUCCUACCUCUGUGGUGUGUGUGAUAUGUACUGCUUUGAACACCAGCAAUUGAAGGAUCUUUGUUGUUUAUCUGUCAGUACAUAAGGGCUGGGAGAGCAUUGC
This 709-nucleotide long non-coding RNA is filed under the name Rattus norvegicus (Norway rat). RNAcentral describes it as "long non-coding RNA NONRATT028884". The record is from RNAcentral. Lineage: Eukaryota; Metazoa; Chordata; Mammalia; Rodentia; Muridae.